This is a long non-coding RNA of Arachis duranensis, 428 nucleotides long. RefSeq lists it as uncharacterized. The transcript has 5 exons. The record is from RefSeq and is a predicted model, not a curated record. Lineage: Eukaryota; Viridiplantae; Streptophyta; Magnoliopsida; Fabales; Fabaceae.
UCUGUCGUAAGCCUUCAAACGUCGCUCCUUCCUCCAUGACUGAAACCCGUAACGCUCUGCUUUUUCUCCUGCGUCGUGACUUCACCUUCCUCCAAACAAAAUUGAAAAACCCUAACCUGGAGGCCUUCCACUGCAAACCUACCGAUCCCUAAUUCCGUCUCAUCAUCAGAGAUUGAAAAUGAGUAGGCGUGGGAGCAGAAUAGUCUACGUUGGGAACCUCCCUGGUGAUAUUCGUGAAAGAGAAGUAGAAGAUUUGUUUUCAAAGAACUGCAUCACACUAACAAAGGAGAAUGUCAAAGGCAUAAUCAUGUGCAUUUAUGAUUGGAGGUAGGAAACUAAUAACCAAUGCACAUUGUGUGGAACAUGAUACACAGGUUAAAGUUAAGAGAAGAGGGGAUGAUACAAAAUACAUGGCUAAGGUGUGUCUC